GAUGAAGAACGUAGCGAAAUGCGAUACGUAAUGUGAAUUGCAGAAUUCAGUGAAUCAUCGAGUCUUUGAACGCACAUUGCGCCCCCUGGUAUUCCGGGGGGCAUGCCUGUCCGAGCGUCAUUGCUGCCCUCAAGCACGGCUUGUGUGUUGGGCCUCCGUCCUCCUCCCGGGGGACGGGCCCGAAAGGCAGCGGCGGCACCGCGUCCGGUCCUCGAGCGUAUGGGGCUUCGUCACCCGCUCUUGUAGGCCCGGCCGGCGCUUGCCGACACAUCAAUCUUUUUUCAGGUUGACCUCGGAUCAGGUAGGGAUACCCGCUGAACUUAAGCAUAUCAAUAAGCGGAGGA
Molecule: unclassified non-coding RNA, 344 nt
Filed under: soil metagenome
Description: partial contains 5.8S ribosomal RNA, internal transcribed spacer 2, and large subunit ribosomal RNA
Rfam family: 5.8S ribosomal RNA (bases 1-120)
Source: RNAcentral